GACGAACGCUGGCGGCGUGCUUAACACAUGCAAGACGAACGGUAAGGCCCUUCGGGGUACACGAGUGGCGAACGGGUGAGUAACACGUGGGUGAUCUGCCCUGCACUUCGGGAUAAGCCUGGGAAACUGGGUCUAAUACCGGAUAGGACUCCUGGCUUCAUGGUUGGGGGUGGAAAGCUUUUGCGGUGUGGGAUGGGCCCGCGGCCUAUCAGCUUGUUGGUGGGGUAAUGGCCUACCAAGGCGACGACGGGUAGCCGGCCUGAGAGGGCGACCGGUCACACUGGGACUGAGCUACGGCCCAGACUCCUACGGGAGGCAGCAGUGGGGAAUAUUGCACAAUGGGCGCAAGCCUGAUGCAGCGACGCCGCGUGAGGGAUGACGGCCUUCGGGUUGUAAACCUCUUUCAGCUAUGACGAAGCGCAAGUGACGGUAGUAGCAGAAGAAGGACCGGCCAACUACGUGCCAGCCGCCGCCGUAA
RNAcentral lists this ribosomal RNA (478 nucleotides) under uncultured bacterium. RNAcentral's name for it is "partial 16S ribosomal RNA". It matches the Rfam family "Bacterial small subunit ribosomal RNA", at positions 28 to 523 of the family's 1533-position model. The record is from RNAcentral.